GUGAAGAGCAAAGUAGCUGACCCAGAUAUACUAUUGUAGAUAGAUACAUAGAAGAAACAGUAGCUUAUCUUCUGUACCAACAAUGUUCCCAAAAUGGCUGCAGAUAUACCAAGCUGUCACGAUCGUUGUAUAAAUAAUCGGACCAGGGCGCAGCGAGGAACCGCCCAUGCACUGCAGAGGAGGAGCCGUGACACAUGGUAGUAAAUUAUAGCAUUAUGGUGAAUGUGAUUAAUCUGG
RNAcentral lists this long non-coding RNA (237 nucleotides) under Oncorhynchus kisutch (coho salmon). RNAcentral's name for it is "lncRNA (ENSOKIG00005041400.1)". Lineage: Eukaryota; Metazoa; Chordata; Actinopteri; Salmoniformes; Salmonidae. The record is from RNAcentral.